This 1540-nucleotide ribosomal RNA is filed under the name Pseudomonas aeruginosa. RNAcentral's name for it is "16S ribosomal RNA". It matches the Rfam family "Bacterial small subunit ribosomal RNA". Lineage: Bacteria; Pseudomonadati; Pseudomonadota; Gammaproteobacteria; Pseudomonadales; Pseudomonadaceae. The record is from RNAcentral. RNAcentral also lists the same sequence under 7 other names.
AAAUUGAAGAGUUUGAUCAUGGCUCAGAUUGAACGCUGGCGGCAGGCCUAACACAUGCAAGUCGAGCGGUAGCACAGAGAGCUUGCUCUCGGGUGACGAGCGGCGGACGGGUGAGUAAUGUCUGGGAAACUGCCUGAUGGAGGGGGAUAACUACUGGAAACGGUAGCUAAUACCGCAUAAUGUCGCAAGACCAAAGUGGGGGACCUUCGGGCCUCAUGCCAUCAGAUGUGCCCAGAUGGGAUUAGCUAGUAGGUGGGGUAACGGCUCACCUAGGCGACGAUCCCUAGCUGGUCUGAGAGGAUGACCAGCCACACUGGAACUGAGACACGGUCCAGACUCCUACGGGAGGCAGCAGUGGGGAAUAUUGCACAAUGGGCGCAAGCCUGAUGCAGCCAUGCCGCGUGUGUGAAGAAGGCCUUCGGGUUGUAAAGCACUUUCAGCGGGGAGGAAGGCGAUAAGGUUAAUAACCUUGUCGAUUGACGUUACCCGCAGAAGAAGCACCGGCUAACUCCGUGCCAGCAGCCGCGGUAAUACGGAGGGUGCAAGCGUUAAUCGGAAUUACUGGGCGUAAAGCGCACGCAGGCGGUCUGUCAAGUCGGAUGUGAAAUCCCCGGGCUCAACCUGGGAACUGCAUUCGAAACUGGCAGGCUAGAGUCUUGUAGAGGGGGGUAGAAUUCCAGGUGUAGCGGUGAAAUGCGUAGAGAUCUGGAGGAAUACCGGUGGCGAAGGCGGCCCCCUGGACAAAGACUGACGCUCAGGUGCGAAAGCGUGGGGAGCAAACAGGAUUAGAUACCCUGGUAGUCCACGCCGUAAACGAUGUCGAUUUGGAGGUUGUGCCCUUGAGGCGUGGCUUCCGGAGCUAACGCGUUAAAUCGACCGCCUGGGGAGUACGGCCGCAAGGUUAAAACUCAAAUGAAUUGACGGGGGCCCGCACAAGCGGUGGAGCAUGUGGUUUAAUUCGAUGCAACGCGAAGAACCUUACCUGGUCUUGACAUCCACAGAACUUUCCAGAGAUGGAUUGGUGCCUUCGGGAACUGUGAGACAGGUGCUGCAUGGCUGUCGUCAGCUCGUGUUGUGAAAUGUUGGGUUAAGUCCCGCAACGAGCGCAACCCUUAUCCUUUGUUGCCAGCGGUUAGGCCGGGAACUCAAAGGAGACUGCCAGUGAUAAACUGGAGGAAGGUGGGGAUGACGUCAAGUCAUCAUGGCCCUUACGACCAGGGCUACACACGUGCUACAAUGGCAUAUACAAAGAGAAGCGACCUCGCGAGAGCAAGCGGACCUCAUAAAGUAUGUCGUAGUCCGGAUUGGAGUCUGCAACUCGACUCCAUGAAGUCGGAAUCGCUAGUAAUCGUAGAUCAGAAUGCUACGGUGAAUACGUUCCCGGGCCUUGUACACACCGCCCGUCACACCAUGGGAGUGGGUUGCAAAAGAAGUAGGUAGCUUAACCUUCGGGAGGGCGCUUACCACUUUGUGAUUCAUGACUGGGGUGAAGUCGUAACAAGGUAACCGUAGGGGAACCUGCGGUUGGAUCACCUCCUUA